AGAGUUUGAUCAUGGCUCAGAACGAACGUUGGCGGCGUGGAUUAGGCAUGCAAGUCGGGGGUGCCAGCAAUGGCAACCGGCGUAAGGGGCAGUAAGGUGUGGGUACCUACCUCGGGGUCCGGGAUAGCCAUCAGAGAUGGUGGGUAAUACCGGAUGACCUCGCGAGAGCAAAGAUUCAUCGCCCCGAGAGGGGCCCACAUGAUAUUACCUAGUUGGCGGGGUAACGGCCCACCAAGGGGAAGAUGUCUAGCGGGUGUGAGAGCACGACCCGCGCCACUCGCACUGAGACACUGGCGAGACACCUACGGGUGGCUGCAGUCGAGGAUCUUCGGCAAUGGGGGCAACCCUGACCGAGCGACGCCGCGUGUGCGACGAAGGCCUUCGGGUUGUAAAGCACUGUCGAGGGGGAGAAAGGCCGCAAGGCGUGAUCUAUCCCUGGAGGAAGCUUCGGCUAAGUUCGUGCAGCAGCCGCGGUAAGAC
Molecule: ribosomal RNA, 480 nt
Filed under: uncultured bacterium
Lineage: Bacteria
Description: bacterial SSU rRNA
Rfam family: Bacterial small subunit ribosomal RNA
Source: RNAcentral